This 388-nucleotide ribosomal RNA is filed under the name uncultured bacterium. RNAcentral's name for it is "bacterial SSU rRNA". It matches the Rfam family "Bacterial small subunit ribosomal RNA", at positions 30 to 416 of the family's 1533-position model. The record is from RNAcentral.
AUUGAACGCUGGCGGCAUGCCUUACACAUGCAAGUCGAACGGCAGCACGGGAGCAAUCCUGGUGGCGAGUGGCGAACGGGUGAGUAAUGUAUCGGAACGUACCUUUCAGUGGGGGAGUAACGUAGCGAAGUUACGCUAAUACCGCAUAUUCUGUGAGCAGGAAAGACAGGGGAGUCGCAAGACCUUGCGCUGAUUGAGCGGCCGAUAUCAGAUUAGCUAGUUGGUGAGGUAAAGGCUCACCAAGGCGACGAUCUGUAGCGGGUCUGAGAGGAUGAUCCGCCACACUGGAACUGAGACACGGUCCAGACUCCUACGGGAGGCAGCAGUGGGGAAUUUUGGACAAUGGGCGCAAGCCUGAUCCAGCCAUGCCGCGUGAGUGAAGAAGGCC